CCUACGGGUGGCAGCAGUGGGGAAUAUUGCGCAAUGGGCGAAAGCCUGACCCAGCAACGCCGCGUGAGGGAAGAAGGCUUUCGGGUUGUAAACUUCUUUUCUCAGGGACGAAGAAGGUGACGGUACCUUAAGAAUCAGCCACUGCUAACUACGUGCCAGCAGCCGCGGUAAUACGUAGGCGGCAAUCGUUAUCCGUAUUUAUGGGGAGUAAGGGCCGUGUAGGCGGGGGCGCAAGUCAGAUGUGAAAACCCAGGGCUCAACCAUGGGCCUGCAUUGGAAACUGUGGUUCUUGAGUGCAGGAGAGGGAAUCGGAAUUCCGUGUGUAGCGGUGAAAUGCGUAGAUAUACGGAGGAACACCAGUGGCGAAGGCGGCUUACUGGACAGUAACUGACGCUGAGGCGCGAAAGCGUGGGGAGCAAACAGGAUUAGAUACCCCGGUAGUC
Molecule: ribosomal RNA, 443 nt
Filed under: uncultured bacterium
Lineage: Bacteria
Description: partial 16S ribosomal RNA
Rfam family: Bacterial small subunit ribosomal RNA
Source: RNAcentral